This 67-nucleotide transfer RNA is filed under the name Drilaster sp. 2 XYG-2023a. Its description in RNAcentral is "tRNA-Met". The record is from RNAcentral. Lineage: Eukaryota; Metazoa; Arthropoda; Insecta; Coleoptera; Lampyridae.
AAAAAGAUAAGCUAAAUCUAAGCUUUUGGGUUCAUACCCCAACCAUAAAGUAAUACUUUUCUUUUUA